AGCUCCAAUAGCGUAUAUUAAAGUUGUUGCAGUUAAAAAGCUCGUAGUUGGAUUUCUGGGAGGGUGCCAAUGUCCGCCUUUGCGCGUGUGCAGCGGCGCCCUUCCAUCCUUCUGUUAACGUCUCUUGGCAUUCAUUUGCUGGUGGCGGGCUCAGAUAUUUUACCUUGAGAAAAUUAGAGUGUUUCAGGCAGGCUAGGCCGGAAUACAUUAGCAUGGAAUAAUGGAAUAGGACUAUAGUCUCUUUGUUGGUUUGAGGGACUGCAGUAAUGAUUAAUAGGGAUAGUUGGGGGCAUUAGUAUUUAAUUGUCAGAGGUGGAAUUCUCAGAUUUGUUAAAGACUAACUUAUGCGAAAGCAUUUGCCAAGGAUGUUU
This 371-nucleotide ribosomal RNA is filed under the name uncultured eukaryote. Its description in RNAcentral is "SSU rRNA". It matches the Rfam family "Eukaryotic small subunit ribosomal RNA", at positions 587 to 969 of the family's 1831-position model. The record is from RNAcentral.